RNAcentral lists this ribosomal RNA (307 nucleotides) under uncultured bacterium. Its description in RNAcentral is "bacterial SSU rRNA". It matches the Rfam family "Bacterial small subunit ribosomal RNA", at positions 29 to 327 of the family's 1533-position model. The record is from RNAcentral.
AAUGAACGCUGGCGGCGCGCCUAAUACAUGCAAGUCGAGCGAGAAGACGUAGCAAUACGUUUGUAAAGCGGCGAACGGGUGAGGAAUACAUGGGUAACCUACCCUAGAGUGGGGAAUAACUAGCCGAAAGGUUAGCUAAUACCGCGUACGCUCCUUGGACUUCGGUUCAGGGAGGAAAGCGAUGCCGAGGGUAUCGCGCUCUUGGAUGGGCUCAUGUCCUAUCAGCUUGNGGUGAGGUAACGGCUCACCAAGGCCUCGACGGGUAGCUGGUCUGAGAGGACGAUCAGCCACACUGGCACUGCGACAC